Methanobrevibacter sp. AbM4 is the source of this 314-nucleotide non-coding RNA. It matches the Rfam family "Archaeal signal recognition particle RNA". The record is from Rfam. NCBI's taxonomy places the organism in Archaea, Methanobacteriati, Methanobacteriota, Methanobacteria, Methanobacteriales, Methanobacteriaceae.
UUUAUGGCUAGACUGGAGGGUUAGGGGUCCUCUGUAAGCACAGAUCCCCUUUGGUGCGGUCGAAAUCCGAAAGGCGGCUUUUGGAUAUAAUAAAGGCCUUAAAAAGUGAUAUGGAAACUUCGUCCUGCAGGAUUAAUGGUGGUAUGAUUUUUACUGGAGGGUAGGAAUUAAUUACCUUUAUUGUGGGAAUGUGUUAGGCCCGGAAGGGAGCAGCUCUACUAUGAACAAUUAAUGCUUGUAGAGUAGCGGAGUGGAGUCGGUUUUUGAGAUAACCUUUAUUGUUGAAUUUAGUCCACUUUCGGAUGUGCCAUUUU